GAGGGGGAAGACGGGAGGAAAGAAGGGAGUGGUUCCAUCGCGCCUCCUCACUCCUCUCCUCCCGUCUUCUUCUCUC
Callithrix jacchus (white-tufted-ear marmoset) is the source of this 76-nucleotide microRNA precursor. The record is from Ensembl. Lineage: Eukaryota; Metazoa; Chordata; Mammalia; Primates; Cebidae.